Molecule: ribosomal RNA, 398 nt
Filed under: uncultured bacterium
Lineage: Bacteria
Description: partial 16S ribosomal RNA
Rfam family: Bacterial small subunit ribosomal RNA
Source: RNAcentral
AAUCUUUCGCAAUGGGCGAAAGCUUGUCGCAGUCAUGCCGCGUUAUUGAUGUAGGUCUUAGGUUUGUAAAAUUCCUUUACCGGGGCCGAUAAUGCCGGUACUCGGAGACGAACCCCUGGCCAACUCCGCUCCAGCAUCCGCGUUAUUACGAGGGGGGCUAGCGUUGCUCGGAAUUACUGGGCGUAAAUGGCGCGUAGGCGGAUCGUUAAGUCAGGUGCGAAAUCCCGGGGCUCAACUCCGGAACUGCCUUUGAUACUGGCGAUCUUGAGUGAGAGAGAGGUAUGUGGAACUCCGAGUGUAGAGGUGAAGUUCGUAGAUAUUCGGAAGAACACCAGUGGCGAAGGCGACAUACUGGCUCAUUACUGACGCUGAGGCGCGAAAGCGUGGGGAGCAAACAG